UAUAAGGUUUUUUUUAAAACCACUCAGAAAAAGAUCAAAUAAAACG
This is a non-coding RNA of Chelonia mydas (Green sea turtle), 46 nucleotides long. The record is from Rfam. Lineage: Eukaryota; Metazoa; Chordata; Testudines; Cheloniidae.